GCUUAAAACCGUUUUAAAUCUUAAUUUCAAACUUUAUUUUAAUUAACGAAGUUUUAUUGCGAUUAAGUUUUUAAUAUCGUUACACGAUUUAUUUAUUUUUCAGAUUUUAUAAUUUAAUUAUUUACGAGCUUAAACUACCUUUUUAAAUCUUGUUUAUUUCGAAUUUUUGAUAAUUUCGGAACGUUUUUAUUUUAUUCGAAAAUUAAAUGUAUUUUAUUGUUAUCGAUAUUUUACAAAAAUUAUUUGAAAAUCUGAUUUUAAUUAAACAUUCCUAUUUAUAUCAAUUCCUAAAUAUAGCAAAGAAAUUUUCAGAAAUUUUUCCUAAUUAAGUAAAAUUACCAAAAUGCCCCUAAGGAACAAAUUGGCAUCUUUCUUGCUCCUUCCUUGCUAUUCACGUACAAACAACAACAUACAAACAACAACAAGAAUGAAGGAAUUCCUUCAUUCCUCUCUACCCACAAUUCAGUCUACAUUCACUUGCUUAAUCCCCAAGUAUUUUAGCUUCUUCUUCACUCUACUUUCAGCCAUAUAUGUUCCAUUCUUUUUCAACCAAAAAUCAGUUACCAAAAAAAAAAACUGAAAAUCAACUCCUUUGUUUUCUUUGAUUCCAACCACCACCACCGCCGGUGGCUGCCGCCACUGCAACCCACCACCACCACCAUUAUCCUCCUCGACUCCUCCACCACCCACUGUCCGUCACCACCGCAACCACCUAGAACCACCACCGCACCACCGUCCCUGCUUCCCCUCUCUCUCGCAACUCCCCUGCCUCCCCCUCUUUUCUCUUCGCUGUACCACACCCGCAACCACCAGCGUCGCACCACCACUCCCAGCAAUCCUCUCCACUAUGUGAACCUACCUCCGUCCCCAAUAACCGUCGCGCCGCCGCCCAGAACCAAACAUAAAUACUCCCCUGUAAUUCCCGUGUUUUGCGCAACCUCACCCCCUUCCUCGUUGUUUCUCCGCCGUGAACCACCCACCCCCACCGGCGCGGUUCCGCGCUGAUGCGCCGCCCAUAAAUCCGGCCGCCACCCAACCUCCUUCUUCCUUCCCCUCUCCUCCCUCGUGCCCCUCCCCUGUUUCCCCUGCUUCGUGCCCCUGUUUCCCAAAGGAACGAGUUCCAGUAUUGGAACUUUGUUCCUUGUAUUACUCAAAAAAUUGGACUCGGUGCUCAGGAAGGACGAUCCAUCAGACAGGAAGUAUAAAAACUACGGUUGAGGUACUACUGGGGACCACGGAAACGAGUAGUGGCGAGGAUUUCACUAUGUUCACCUAAGUUACUGUUAAGUUGUAACAAGUUUAAGUAAAGAUUCGAGAUUAAGUUAUGUACUUUGAUUAAGGAAUUGAGAAGGAUGAUUAUGUGAAUUUUGGAGUUUAAUAGCUUAUGAUUGAUAGUUGCCUUGUAAUUCCCAAGAGGGAGUUACGGCGGGUAAUGUCCCGACCGAAUUAGGUUAAUUCCGCUGCUAAUUAUGAUUAAAUAAUUGAAUUAGA
Long non-coding RNA from Spinacia oleracea (spinach), 1491 nucleotides. RefSeq lists it as uncharacterized. The record is from RefSeq and is a predicted model, not a curated record. The transcript has 3 exons. NCBI's taxonomy places the organism in Eukaryota, Viridiplantae, Streptophyta, Magnoliopsida, Caryophyllales, Amaranthaceae.